Micropterus dolomieu (smallmouth bass) is the source of this 2734-nucleotide RNA transcript. RefSeq lists it as uncharacterized. The transcript is spliced from 9 exons. Lineage: Eukaryota; Metazoa; Chordata; Actinopteri; Centrarchiformes; Centrarchidae. The record is from RefSeq and is a predicted model, not a curated record.
CACUGCCCUCUUGUGGUUCCCCCUGUGCAGGACCGUUUAGGAACAACAAUAACAGCACAGUAGGAAGGAAACUAGAUCAACAUGAACUCGACACGUAAAAUAGUCAGCAAAACGGAACUACUGGAAUAAUAUCACUGGUUUAAUAUGUUUAUCGUUUUCACUCAGCACUGAACGUUUUCUACAACCACCGCCAGGACACUCGGCUGGGUAACCACCACGAAGAUGUGUUAAAGAUGGACAGUUCUUUGUGUGCAGCCUUCAGGAAGGAUAACGUUAACGUUAUUGUGUAAGGCAGCGAGGUCGAAUAACGUACAAAAACUAACGGUAUUUCGGUUUGCCAAAACAGAAGCGUUCUGUCCUCGAGUGUGCAGUUUUGCUUUCUGGCGCAGCUUGUUCAGAGUAACGUUACGCGGGUGCGAACAAAAUGGAGGGUAAUAAGCUGUUAAAUUGCCUGGUGUAACGUUACAUGGACCUGUGCUUAGCUUAAAAUGCUUGUUCGCCAUGGUUUUAAAGGUGAAUGAACUGUUUUCAUGCUAUUUUGCUUGACAAAAGCCGUGAAGGGAAUUAAGUGAGCUCACUCGUAAAAAAACAAAACAAAAAAACGGAUUUGUAACGUUAACGUUACUUCCAAAAUUUCCAAAGUGUGUCGCAAACUGACGGUAUUGAUUAUGUGCACAAUAAAAACAGGGUGUUCUGUCAUGUGAAACGCUUCACCUGCAGUUUUGUACCAGUAAAAUAUUAAAAGGACGACCAGACACCCCAAAAUGACAGACUCUGGGGAUGCAGCAAGUGUUCCCGGCUCCUCCGGCCGGAGCAGCGGGGCUGGGCUGAGUUUCACUGCGGGCAGAGGACUACCAGGCCGGGUCAGGAGUCUGUCCUCCUCUGCUCCACCUGGAAGACUGACGUCCCUGAGAACAAGGGACCUCACACUGGGGGGAGCCCUCAAAAAAACAAAGAAAACCUUUGAGCCAAAUGUCCACGCUGUGAGGAAAAGCAAAGAUGAGUUAAAGGAAAAGGUCCAUGUGUCUCCAAAAAAGGAGAGAAGAGAGAGGGAUGAGAGGAGGAGAGAGAACAGAGGGAGGAGGAGAGAGAGGCCUCAGACCAUCCAGUCUCACUCCAUCUUUGAACAGGGUCCUGCUGACACUGUACGCAAAACAGGCUGGCGUGGCACUACAGACCUGCAUGACUCCACCACCUCUCCUGUCUGUAAACUGGUGAAGAAAGAGAUGAAAGAGUCAGAGGAGGAUGAAGAUGAGAUACUCAGUAAACUACAGAGGGAUAAUUUCAUAGAUGAUCCAGGUCUGAGGAAUGAUGCCAAGCUGAAACCCAUCCAGCUGCCUCUGAGUCAGUCCAGCAGCUUCACCAAGAGUCAGACUCUUACAACCACCACAGCAUGUCCUGAGAAAGCCCCUCUGUUCAGACCGUCCUGUGGAGCUCAGAGUAAAGCAGGCCACUGUAGGACAGAGCUACCCAAACCAGAGCAGCCAUCUCUGGUAGAAGUGCUGCAGGACCUCCGCCUGUCUGGCAGAGAGGAGCUCUUCUUCAUGCAGUUGCCUGACUGUAUGCCGAGCAGAGCGUCUGCACAGAAGGUCAACACUGCUCUAGAAUCUAAAGCAGAGAAACCUUCCAAGAAGGAAGGAAAGCCUGAAGCCAAGAGGCCUGCACAUCUACAAGAACAGGAGCCUGCGGUGAAGGACGGCUGUCCUGUGCUGUCACAAUUCCCAGAAGGCUUUUUGGGUAAACUGCAGAUCAGGAAGUCCGGAAAGGUGGAGCUGAAGCUGGGUGACAUUGUCAUGGACGUCUCUGAGGGAGCUGCAUUCUCCUUCUUGCAGCAACUGGUGUCUGUGCGUCUGUCCGACGGUCGGACUGGAGACAUAAUGGUGUUAGGGAAUGUGCACCACAAACUGGUCUUAUCUCCGGACUUCCAGACUUUACUGACACAAGCUGCAACAGAGCAGCAGCAAGGACCCUGAUCAUCAGCUGCACAGAGAGCCAGCAGAGCUGAACUGGAAUGUGGAAUACGUUCCAGUUUCCGUUCUGUAGGAUUGUGUUGUUUCGUUACCUCACACACACACACACACACACACACACCACUGUGUAGGGGAAAUGGCUAUUCUCCAGACCUCCGAUUUGAUGCUUCUAAGGCAGCUUUUAUAUAUUUUUAAAAUUCUGUGAAAUCUGUCAAAGUCGAAAUUAUUUUGUUUUGUGAGGAGACAUGUUGUUGUGUGGUAAAUUUAUGCUAUCAGACUCAAUAUACAUAUAUUAUUAAAUAUAACAAGUAUAUGGUAACCUGAGCACGGACUACCCAUUUACUGAUGGUGACUUCUCACUGAGAAGAGAACGCUCUGUAUAUUUUCACUGUUGUUAUUAGGUGUUUGUGAACCAGCAUGUUUUUCUGCCACCUGGACAUCAUUGACAAUUUUGGAUUAAAAAAAGUGGAUUAGACUCUUACACAUCAGCUUCAUAGAGCAACAACAGUUGCCCCGCCCUCACUAAAAAUCCAGAUGUGGCUGACCCUUAGUGGUUGAAUAUGUUACAGUAAGGCAGAGGGUUGGUAUGGAAAGAUCAAGAUUCAAGGCUAUUCAUGGCUCCAAAUCAUAUUCCAUGCUGUUGGCUGCCUCAGGUCCUCAGACACGGACCUGCUGUUUGGACACCGCGGCUUUGGAGUGACCUGCUUUGGGGAGCUCAUGCACACUUUGUCAUCAUCUUCCAUUAAAUCACUUCUUAAAAAGAA